This is an RNA transcript of Amphiprion ocellaris (clown anemonefish), 3049 nucleotides long. RefSeq lists it as uncharacterized. The transcript has 4 exons. NCBI's taxonomy places the organism in Eukaryota, Metazoa, Chordata, Actinopteri, Pomacentridae. The record is from RefSeq and is a predicted model, not a curated record.
CAUCCAGUAAACAGUGUAAGCGGGUGUUGUUGUAGCGCGCAUGCGCCUUCCCCUGUUUGUUUUUUUUGUUUGGGUUCCCACGCUCUGGGAGGUUGUCAUUCAAAGGCCAGACCGGUUACUGCCUCUGUUCGCCUAACAAUAAACGGAGAUCUGCCGUCUUUCUCCAAGGAAUAUUCAGUCUCUGCAUCUUUCUCAACUCACCACGCUACAUUGGUGGCAGCGGUGCUGCGACUGGACUCACUUUUCUGCUUAUUUUGAUGGAGACUAUUUGUUCGGACAAUAUGUUUGGAGGCCCUAAGGACGAGGACGACUAUGGGAAGUACAGAGCUACAUGGACUGAGGAAGUCUGUAACGUGAAAGUGGACCUUCCCGCUCCGUUUUGUGGAGAUGGAUGUAAGCUAUUCGCCACUUGGAUAAAGCAGUUUGAGGCCGCCGUGCGCGCUUAGACCCGGGGCGGGAUGAGCCGGAGCUAUGCCGCUACCCUGGCUGCUGUUUUACCGACCAGGCUGGAUGGUGCUGCGUUCCUCCUGUGGGACAUCCUUCCCCCGUCCGUACAAUGUGACUUUGAGAGUGUUAAAGAGAAACUCAACGAGGCCUUUGGACAGAAGCAGUUUCUGUUGUAUUUUCAGACGUGUGUUUCGGCUCGUACCCGCCAAGCUAAUGAGAGUUUAGAGCUUUAUGCGGCGGACAUUUCAAGGCUGGUUGCUGAAGCGUUCCCAGAAUAUGACAUGGCGGCACUAAAUGGUGAGAAGUUUCGGCGGUUUCUGGCUGGACUGGACCCGGGUCUGCGUGCCAAGUGCCACGAGCAGGGAGCGAGUGAUUUGGAAGAAGCCCUCAUGAUAGCGGGGCGGUGUGAGCGGGCUAGAAUGGCUCUCGGUGUGGGCACACAGACUAGCCCUUAUUCCCCUGCGACCCCCCCCCCCCCCCCCCGCUACACAUACGGCUGUGGCCUGGACUACACGACGCUGGUAUGGCGGGCAAGCUUCUCAGUGCUGGGGAGAGUCUUACUGCUAGGAUGGAUAAACUGCAGACUGAUAUGGCGGAUCUCAGGGCAACGCGACAGGACUGCUACAGGCCGCGCGUGGACCGGCGUACUCUCUGCGCUUGUGAUUGUGGUGGAGUUGACUGCAGAUCUGCCUCCGAGGAGCCCGCUCUCCCCGUGACGGCCAGCGGAAUGCUGAGGAGUGGUCCCCCAGGUCAUCUACUUCUUCUGCAUCGCGUCGCGGGAACAGGAGUCCACAGAGGGGGCGUUUCUCCGGUGAAUCAUCGCAGUGGAGACGUGGCGUCCGAUUCCUGUCGCCAUCCCGGCGUUCACCUUCUCCUUCCCCGCUUGGACGGAACCAGGGAAACUUCCAGUAACUGAUGCUGAGACCCGACCAUCAGUCACAUCUUCUCAGGGUCACGGAGGACACCUCACAGCUGUGGUAGAUACUCCUACUGUGGACUACUGCGCUGCUGGUGCCCCUGGAUCCUGUUCUGUUAUGUGAUGACCCUCUGGGCCGCACCCCCUCAUCACCAGAGAGGGAGGAUGUGACUGAUGGGUCUGGUUCAGAGUGAAAGUAGCAGUUCCUCCUGAAGGUCAGAGAUUGCAGCAUCUGAGGGCCUCUUCAAAAGAAGACGUAGUUGAUGAAGGCGUUCUGGAGCAGGACCAGAAAGACCACGACCAAGCAGCCUUGAGAUCUUAGGCAGCGUCUCCCUCAGACCAAAGAACUACAGACUCUUCACAACCUGCUCAAACUCUUGGUACAGGACCUCACCACAUGGGUCAAGAAGGUUUCUGUCUCAUUUCUACUCUGAAGCUCACCUUCUCCUGCUCAAACUGCUGACAAAUGUUUCUGCUGCUCUAAAGUCUGGUCUCCAGAACUUCCUAAAAACUCUCAAAGUCUCUUCUGCUGCAGGUUGCUUUGUAGAACUGUUCCAGAAAACCUCACUAAACCACAUGGAGGAGCCUCAAGAUAGUCGUCCAAAUGAAACCAUACAAAAACCAAACUAGUACAACCCAAACGCUAAAGUCUCCUGCAGCCUACCAGAGAACCUCUGAGAACAGAGAAUCAGGACAGGAACUCUUACCUUCUGGACAACCAACGUUGGUUCACAAGAAUACAGAAUGUGUCUGACCAAAAACCUCUAAAGACUCACUACAGCCAAGAUAAAGACACAACUCAGCUGCAACAAAUCCACUAAUCACUGCACACAGUAGCACCAUGUGGUAACUGUGGCUAAAGAACCACAUUUACCAAGACAACUAUCCAGUACAAAGUCCUAAAACACACCAAGAAACACAUUAAAGACGAUUUUACUGCUGGAAGCUGCAAGCCAACGCCUAAAGAACAAACUAAAGCAAUGGAGCCAAACCCAGUUCACUUGUGAAGAGAAACAGAGGAAAUGUUUGUCUGCAGCUAAAUAAAGCAGGAAGACACUGAGCUGCUCAGGUGUUCCUGAUAACACCAAGCAGCCACCUGGACAGCCAAUAGGAACACAGCUUCCUGGAAGUCCAGAGGGCUGGCUUAGUCAAGGAAAUUUACUUUAAAGUUGAAGCAGAAAGUUAACAAAGAAAGUUGAAAACCACCUUCUGAUCCCUGAAAUCUCUGAGUUUUCACACAAAGAACACCUGAACAUGUCAAACUGGUUCCAUAGUAGAACCAUCAUUGUAAAAACAUCAUAGUAUGGUGUGUUGCUCCAAAAACAUUAGGACCCGGCUGUCUCGGGUCAUCGAGGAGCAACACAAAAACAGGACAAACGCUGGUUUCCAGGGGGUUAGGAGGAUAUUUAUUUGAAAGAGGAAGUUUACAACAACACAACAUGUGAGCAGAAAAAUCACAAAGUCUGUCUUUAGUUCAGCUGAAAAUAUUAGUUUUUGUCUUUUUUAUUGACCAAACUUUUCAGGAAGUAGAUGAAGAAUAAUUAAAGCUCUCAUGUAGAAGUCCAACUUAUUUUGGAUCCUUGUGGAGAGUUUAAUCUUAGAGUUUGUAAAGCUGUUGAGUUUUUAGAGUCACAUGGAUUGUUUUGACAUUUAAUAACCGAGUCCUGAAAUAAAAUUACAGUUGUG